GCAACAAAAACAGACAAUAAAUUCACAUCAAGGAUGCCAUCCAGGACACCAGUACACACUGAAAUCUGUGAUCUGAAUGUGCCACAGGGCACGUGAAAAAAAGAAAUCACCCUUGAAUAAGUGGGACUAUCCAACAGAAAUGCCGAACAAAGUUAGAGAUGCUCAAGACACUGCCCUUUCCAGACAAAAGGAGUGUAUUUAUGGCUUCUGCAGUUCAUCAUCUACAAUCAAACAAGAAAUUAUAUACCAUUCUUGGCAAAAAAAAAGCCAAUAUACAGUGACAUAGUUCUUCCUCAAUUAAAAAGUUACAGCUUUGUGUUUUCUUGAGAAAAUACAAAUAUUUCUGAAAUCACAGCAUAUGUAGCGUUUAUUGUUUUUCUUGGACAGUAAGUUAUAAAGAAGUAGCUUAUGAAUCAGUAGCUAGAAGUUUUACUUCCUGGUUUCUAUUAAAUCUUAUGCUAUUUGCUCCUGAUUUAGGGCCCAGGAAAAGCAAUUAUAACUUGCAUGCACCAACUUGCUGAGUUACUGAGCCAGUUUAUCUUUGCUUGUCUAAACAAAGGACUGUAAAGCAUAAAAAAGUGAUUUAAAGAAUUUUUGCACUGAGUUGUCACUUUGAACUCUUAUAACCACAGAAAAUUGUACCAUAUCUCAAAUUUAAAACAAAGUAAACCAAAAACCUCACCACAAUUUUCUUUUUCUGUGAAAUUUUCUGUCAUAAGAAGAUAUGUUCAGAAAGGUCUAAUAUUGAUAUGACAUUUUCUCUAAGAGUGUUCUGCAAAAACACCUAAGAAGUUUCCUGAAACUGGCACAAGAUUUUGUUUUAGCUGCCUAAGUUAGAUUACAGCAAGUCAAACACUCUGUAUAUUUCAGAAAAAUAUGCUGAUGGGUGAACCUAUCAAGAAAGGAUUUACCUAAAUGCUGUUCUCUCAAGAUGAUAGUAGUAAAUGAGUCCUUUGUAGGAAGGCUAUUUCAAAAGCCAAAAGUUGUUACACUACAUAUAUAAUGAUAAUGAGCUGUUAGAAAACUUCCUGCUCACUAUGAACUUUGAAUAAACAGUUAAAUCCUAAGUUAGCUCUUCA
RNAcentral lists this long non-coding RNA (1079 nucleotides) under Cyanistes caeruleus (blue tit). RNAcentral describes it as "lncRNA (ENSCCEG00000012005.1)". The record is from RNAcentral. Lineage: Eukaryota; Metazoa; Chordata; Aves; Passeriformes; Paridae.